GACGAGGGACCCUAGCGUUGUUCGGAAUCAUUGGGCGUAAAGCGGAUGCAGGUGGCAUUGUAAGUCAGGUGUGAAAGCCCAGAGCUUAACUCUGGAAGUGCAUUUGAUACUGCGAUGCUUGAGUGCCGGAGAGGUUACUAGAAUUCCAGGUGUAGUGGUGAAAUACGUAGAUAUCGGGAGGAACACCAGUGGCGAAGGCGACUACCUGGCCCAUUCUUGACGCUGAGGCGCGAAAGCUAGGGGAGCGAACGGG
Molecule: ribosomal RNA, 253 nt
Filed under: uncultured bacterium
Lineage: Bacteria
Description: partial 16S ribosomal RNA
Rfam family: Bacterial small subunit ribosomal RNA
Source: RNAcentral